This 236-nucleotide long non-coding RNA is filed under the name Ananas comosus (pineapple). RNAcentral describes it as "long non-coding RNA (ACOM_LNC003613)". Lineage: Eukaryota; Viridiplantae; Streptophyta; Magnoliopsida; Poales; Bromeliaceae. The record is from RNAcentral.
CGAUAAAGAUAACUAGUGAGUUAUGAUUCUAUUUCGGGAUUAUAUGAAGUUGAAUUGGGUAAAUUGAUACUGUUUGGAAUGAUUAUUCAACUGAAGAUAAUCUAGUAAACAACUAGAUUUGGAUAUGAUAACAUACUUGUAUAGUCAAGUAGAGAUUUAUAUUGGACUACAGAAUAUGUGCAAUGAGUCUUUGCACAGAACAUUAGUAAACCACUUUCCUUAUGUGUAAGGAGUAG